RNAcentral lists this transfer RNA (72 nucleotides) under Clavaria fumosa. RNAcentral describes it as "tRNA-Ile". It matches the Rfam family "tRNA". From Rfam's summary of the family: Transfer RNA (tRNA) molecules are approximately 80 nucleotides in length. Their secondary structure includes four short double-helical elements and three loops (D, anti-codon, and T loops). The record is from RNAcentral. Lineage: Eukaryota; Fungi; Basidiomycota; Agaricomycetes; Agaricales; Clavariaceae.
AUAUUUAUAAUUUAAAGGUAAGAAUAAACUCAUAAUGGGGGUUAGGUAUAAGUUCGAUUCUUCUUAGAUAUU